GGGCCUAUAGCUCAGCUGGUUAGAGCGCACGCCUGAUAAGCGUGAGGUCGAUGGUUCGAGUCCAUUUAGGCCCU
This 74-nucleotide transfer RNA is filed under the name Pediococcus acidilactici. RNAcentral's name for it is "tRNA-Ile". It matches the Rfam family "tRNA". Rfam says of the family: Transfer RNA (tRNA) molecules are approximately 80 nucleotides in length. Their secondary structure includes four short double-helical elements and three loops (D, anti-codon, and T loops). The record is from RNAcentral. Lineage: Bacteria; Bacillati; Bacillota; Bacilli; Lactobacillales; Lactobacillaceae.